Molecule: small nuclear RNA, 109 nt
Filed under: Dryobates pubescens (Downy woodpecker)
Lineage: Eukaryota; Metazoa; Chordata; Aves; Piciformes; Picidae
Description: Picoides pubescens (downy woodpecker) U2 spliceosomal RNA
Rfam family: U2 spliceosomal RNA
About the family: U2 is a small nuclear RNA (snRNA) component of the spliceosome (involved in pre-mRNA splicing). Complementary binding between U2 snRNA (in an area lying towards the 5' end but 3' to hairpin I) and the branchpoint sequence (BPS) of the intron results the bulging out of an unpaired adenosine, on the BPS, which initiates a nucleophilic attack at the intronic 5' splice site, thus starting the first of two transesterification reactions that mediate splicing.
Source: Rfam by way of RNAcentral
AUCGCUUCUCGGCCUUUGGGCUAAGAUCAAGUGUAGGAUCUGUUCUUAUCAGCUUAAUACCUGAUACAUCCUCCAUCAGAGGACUUUUGUUUUGGGUUAGGAACUGGCU